AGUGAACGCUGGCGGCGUGCUUAACACAUGCAAGUCGAACGCGAAAGGGGAGCAAUCCCCGAGUAGAGUGGCGAACGGGUGAGUAAUGUGUGGGUAAUUUGCCUUUCAGCGGGGGAUAACUCGGGGAAACCUGAGCUAAUACCCCAUAAUGUUGCUUGAUCUUCGGGUCGAGUAAUCAAACGAUGGCCUCUGCUUGCAAGCUAUCGCUGAAAGAUGAGCCCACAUCCUAUCACGCUUGUUGGUGGGGUAAUGGCCUACCAAGGCGACGACGGGUAGCCGGCCUGAGAGGGUGCACGGCCACACUGGAACUGAGACACGGUCCAGACUCCUACGGGAGGCAGCAGUGGGGAAUCUUGCGCAAUGGGCGAAAGCCUGACGCAGCGACGCCGCGUGAGGGAUGACGGCC
RNAcentral lists this ribosomal RNA (406 nucleotides) under uncultured bacterium. Its description in RNAcentral is "bacterial SSU rRNA". It matches the Rfam family "Bacterial small subunit ribosomal RNA", at positions 29 to 416 of the family's 1533-position model. The record is from RNAcentral.